RNAcentral lists this ribosomal RNA (500 nucleotides) under uncultured bacterium. RNAcentral describes it as "partial 16S ribosomal RNA". It matches the Rfam family "Bacterial small subunit ribosomal RNA", at positions 30 to 523 of the family's 1533-position model. The record is from RNAcentral.
AUUGAACGCUGGCGGAAUGCUUUACACAUGCAAGUCGAACGGCAGCACGGACUUCGGUCUGGUGGCGAGUGGCGAACGGGUGAGUAAUGUAUCGGAACGUGCCCAGUCGUGGGGGAUAACGUAGUGAGAAUUACGCUAAUACCGCAUACGAUCUAUGGAUGAAAGCGGGGGAUCGCAAGACCUCGCGCGCUUAGAGCGGCCGAUAUCAGAUUAGGUAGUUGGUGGGGUAAAGGCCCACCAAGCCAACUAUCUGUAGCUGGUCUGAGAGGACGACCAGCCACACUGGAACUGAGACACGGUCCAGACUCCUACGGGAGGCAGCAGUGGGGAAUUUUGGACAAUGGGCGAAAGCCUGAUCCAGCCAUUCCGCGUGCAGGAUGAAGGCCCUCGGGUUGUAAACUGCUUUUGUACAGAACGAAAAGGUUUCUACUAAUACUAGGAGCUCAUGACGGUACUGUAAGAAUAAGCACCGGCUAACUACGUGCCAGCCGCCGCCGUAA